UCUCACUCAUAGUUGUACAAAUUACAGGGCUUUUUUUUAAUUGUCAUAAAACAUAUACAUUAUUCAUCUAUUCAGUUUCAUCUGAAGAGAAUCCAACAAAGAAGAAAUUUUAUUUUCCAAUAAAAUAUUAAAGCUGCUUUACCCCACAAGAGACAGAGCAGAAAUUCCAUCCAUGAUCUAUGUGAAGACACUGAAGAUCAGAGAAGUUGUGUGGAAUGCCUAAGGAAGGUGUAGUAACCAGCAGUAAAUGUUAAGAAAUCUAUGCGAAAACAAUACACAGUUCUGGCCAAAAGAAGUUAAAACAAAUGUGAAAAAUAAGCGACAUCCAGAAACUUCAGCAGCUCCCUUCUGUCCUAUGCCUCAAGGUACCAGAGAGGGAAAAAGACCCCCAGGAGAGGCUGUGAGGAAACCUGAACUGCAAACCCACCACGAUGUCUUCCUGGGAAAGGCAAGUUGGUAAAGAAAGAUGUGAACUCUAUUUCAGGGUAGUAUGUUUUUUUCAUUUGCUUCCAAGACUUUGAUGGAAUGACUUGAGAGGAAAAGUUCACAAUUACUAGAAAGAACCUAAAAGGACAUGAGAGAUGAAACCGUUGCAGUAUUUUUGAAAUAAAUGUUUUCCUGCAAGAGCAGAGUCAUGGGCGGGGUGUCUGUGUAAUAUCUACUCAACACAGCCG
This 674-nucleotide long non-coding RNA is filed under the name Homo sapiens (human). Its description in RNAcentral is "non-protein coding lnc-SLC38A2-1:3". The record is from RNAcentral. Lineage: Eukaryota; Metazoa; Chordata; Mammalia; Primates; Hominidae.